UGGGGAAUAUUGCACAAUGGGCGCAAGCCUGAUGCAGCCAUGCCGCGUGUGUGAAGAAGGCCUUCGGGUUGUAAAGCACUUUCAGCGAGGAGGAAGGUGGUGAACUUAAUACGUUCAUCAAUUGACGUUACUCGCAGAAGAAGCACCGGCUAACUCCGUGCCAGCAGCCGCGGUAAUACGGAGGGUGCAAGCGUUAAUCGGAAUUACUGGGCGUAAAGCGCACGCAGGCGGUUUGUUAAGUCAGAUGUGAAAUCCCCGGGCUCAACCUGGGAACUGCAUUUGAAACUGGCAAGCUAGAGUCUCGUAGAGGGGGGUAGAAUUCCAGGUGUAGCGGUGAAAUGCGUAGAGAUCUGGAGGAAUACCGGUGGCGAAGGCGGCCCCCUGGACGAAGACUGACGCUCAGGUGCGAAAGCGUGGGGCAGCAAACAGGAUUAGAUACCCUGGUAGUCCACGCUGUAAAACGAUGUCGAUUUGGAGGUUGUGCCCUUGAGGCGUGGCUUCCGGAGCUAACGCGUUAAAUCGACCGCC
RNAcentral lists this ribosomal RNA (528 nucleotides) under uncultured bacterium. RNAcentral describes it as "partial 16S ribosomal RNA". It matches the Rfam family "Bacterial small subunit ribosomal RNA", at positions 355 to 873 of the family's 1533-position model. The record is from RNAcentral.